This 1228-nucleotide ribosomal RNA is filed under the name metagenome. Its description in RNAcentral is "bacterial LSU rRNA". It matches the Rfam family "Bacterial large subunit ribosomal RNA", at positions 1705 to 2925 of the family's 2925-position model. The record is from RNAcentral.
AGAAGGAACUCGGCAAAUUGACACCGUAACUUCGGAAGAAGGUGUGCCUUUAGUAGGUGAACCUGUACAAGGGGAGCCCAAUGAGGUUGCAAAAAAUCGGUGGCUGCGACUGUUUAAUAAAAACACAGCACUCUGCAAACACGAAAGUGGACGUAUAGGGUGUGACGCCUGCCCGGUGCUGGAAGAUUAAAUGAUGGGGUGCAAGCUCUUGAUUGAAGUCCCAGUAAACGGCGGCCGUAACAAUAACGGUCCUAAGGUAGCGAAAUUCCUUGUCGGGUAAGUUCCGACCUGCACGAAUGGCGUAACGAUGGCCACACUGUCUCCUCCUGAGACUCAGCGAAGUUGAAAUGUUUGUGAUGAUGCAAUCUCCCCGCGGAAAGACGGAAAGACCCCAUGAACCUUUACUGUAGCUUUGUAUUGGACUUUGAACAGAUCUGUGUAGGAUAGGUGGGAGGCUUUGAAGUGUGGUCGCUAGAUCGCAUGGAGCCAACGUUGAAAUACCACCCUGGUGUGUUUGAGGUUCUAACCUAGGCCCGUAAUCCGGGUCGGGGACAGUGCAUGGUAGGCAGUUUGACUGGGGCGGUCUCCUCCCAAAGCGUAACGGAGGAGUUCGAAGGUACGCUAGGUACGGUCGGACAUCGUGCUAAUAGUGCAAUGGCAUAAGCGUGCUUAACUGCGAGACUGACAAGUCGAGCAGAUGCGAAAGCAGGACAUAGUGAUCCGGUGGUUCUGUAUGGAAGGGCCAUCGCUCAACGGAUAAAAGGUACUCUGGGGAUAACAGGCUGAUACCGCCCAAGAGUUCAUAUCGACGGCGGUGUUUGGCACCUCGAUGUCGGCUCAUCUCAUCCUGGGGCUGUAGCCGGUCCCAAGGGUAUGGCUGUUCGCCAUUUAAAGAGGUACGUGAGCUGGGUUUAAAACGUCGUGAGACAGUUUGGUCCCUAUCUUCCGUGGGCGCUGCAGAUUUGAGGAAGCCUGCUCCUAGUACGAGAGGACCGGAGUGGACACACCUCUGGUGUAUCGGUUGUCACGCCAGUGGCAUUGCCGAGUAGCUAUGUGUGGAAGAGAUAACCGCUGAAAGCAUCUAAGCGGGAAACUCGUUUCAAGAUGAGAUCUGCCGGGGCCUUGAGCCCCCUAAAGAGUCGUUCAAGACCAGGACGUUGAUAGGUCGGGUGUGGAAGCGCAGUAAUGCGUUAAGCUAACCGAUACUAAUUGCUCGUGCGGCUUGAGC